This 450-nucleotide ribosomal RNA is filed under the name uncultured bacterium. RNAcentral's name for it is "bacterial SSU rRNA". It matches the Rfam family "Bacterial small subunit ribosomal RNA", at positions 354 to 796 of the family's 1533-position model. The record is from RNAcentral.
GUGAGGAGUUUUGCGCAAUGGGGGAAACCCUGACGCAGCAACGCCGCGUGAGCGAAGAAGGCCUUCGGGUCGUAAAGCUCUGUCAAGUGGGAAAAACGUGUCCCGGUCAAUAGCCGGGAGAUCUGAUGGUACCACUGGAGGAAGCACCGGCUAACUCCGUGCCAGCAGCCGCGGUAAUACGGAGGGUGCAAGCGUUGUUCGGAAUUAUUGGGCGUAAAGAGCGUGUAGGCGGUUUAGCAAGUCAGAUGUGAAAGCCCUGGGCUUAACCCGGGAAGUGCAUUUGAAACUGCUUUACUUGAGUAUGGGAGAGGAGAGUGGAAUUCCUGGUGUAGAGGUGAAAUUCGUAGAUAUCAGGAGGAACAUCUGUGGCGAAGGCGACUCUCUGGACCAAUACUGACGCUGAGACGCGAAAGCGUGGGUAGCAAACAGGAUUAGAAACCCUAGUAGUCC